GCCUUAGCGCGGUGGUCCCACCUGACCCCAUGCCGAACUCAGAAGUGAAACGCCGUAGCGCCGAUGGUAGUGUGGGGUUUCCCCAUGCGAGAGUAGGGAACUGCCA
Molecule: ribosomal RNA, 106 nt
Filed under: Escherichia coli
Lineage: Bacteria; Pseudomonadati; Pseudomonadota; Gammaproteobacteria; Enterobacterales; Enterobacteriaceae
Source: RNAcentral